This 421-nucleotide ribosomal RNA is filed under the name uncultured bacterium. Its description in RNAcentral is "bacterial SSU rRNA". It matches the Rfam family "Bacterial small subunit ribosomal RNA", at positions 31 to 497 of the family's 1533-position model. The record is from RNAcentral.
GUACGCUGGCGGCACGCCUAACACAUGCAAGUCGAACGAAGUAGCAAUACUUAGUGGCAGACGGGUGAGUAACAUGUGGGUAUCUACCCUUUGGCCUGGAAUAACACGAGGAAACUUGUGCUAAUACUGGAUAAGUCUUUACGGAGAAAGCUUUAUGCACCAUUGGAUGAGCCCGCACUUGAUUAGUUUGUUGGUGGGGUAAUGGCCUACCAAGACUGUGAUCAAUAGCUGAUUUGAGAGGAUGAUCAGCCACAUUGGGACUGAGACACGGCCCAAACUCCUACGGGAGGCAGCAGUGGGGAAUCUUGCACAAUGGAGGAAACUCUGAUGCAGCGAUGCCGCGUGAGUGAAGAAGGCCCUUGGGUUGUAAAGCUCUUUCGUCGGGGAAGAAAAUGACUGUACCCGAAUAAGAAGGUCCGGC